UUAGGAAAUGCCUUUGUACUGCAGUGGACCAAUAAUAAUGGCUGAGGAGGAGGAGGAGAAGGAAGAGGGAGGGAUGUACACCUUUCAUAGGAAGCUCAGUCACAGCAAACAGGAGUCACUGAGGAGCUCUGUGCCUUGUCUUCAGAGGCCGUGGUGCUGAGUGAGUCUCCGAGGCUGUGUCUGGUGUGUGACGAGCAGGUGGAGCAACACGCAGCCUUACGGAAGGAGUGGUAUGGGUGACGCAGAGGCUCUCACUCAGGUGGUGCUGCCCGUGGCCUACCAGUUCAACCCACAGCUGGUCCUGGUCACUGCCAGCCUUGAUGCUGGUGCGGGGACCCACUUGGAGGUUGCCGCGCGAGUCCCGAUUGCUUUGGACAUAUGAUGGCCCUUCUGUCUGGCCUGGCCGAGGGCCGCAUGGUUCUGGCACUGGAGGGCGGCUUCAACCUCACCACCAUCAGCUACUGUAUGACGCUGUGUGCCAAGGCCUUGCUGGGGGAUCUGCUGCCCCCCCUUGAGCCCCAGCUGGUGCCCAACAAGUGCCGUGCAGACCACCAAUGGGGUCAUCCGUACCCACAGCCGCUACUGGCUGGCGCUCUGC
This is a long non-coding RNA of Eriocheir sinensis (Chinese mitten crab), 598 nucleotides long. RefSeq lists it as uncharacterized. The record is from RefSeq and is a predicted model, not a curated record. NCBI's taxonomy places the organism in Eukaryota, Metazoa, Arthropoda, Malacostraca, Decapoda, Varunidae. The transcript is spliced from 3 exons.